RNAcentral lists this long non-coding RNA (920 nucleotides) under Coffea arabica (coffee). RNAcentral describes it as "long non-coding RNA (CARA_LNC000245)". Lineage: Eukaryota; Viridiplantae; Streptophyta; Magnoliopsida; Gentianales; Rubiaceae. The record is from RNAcentral.
CCAAUGCAUCAGCCAACAGUAGAAUCUAUACAAUGCCACACUCGCAACUGAUGCUCCAACAAAGGCAGCAAAUGAACUCAAUUGAAACGACUACAGAAGGCAAGUGAAAUCAAGAGACUAAACACACCCAGUAAACCAAAAUUAGCUAACCAACUUCAAGAAGCGAUGCAGGGGUCACAAUUCCCUUCCGAUUCAACAAACAACCCAGAAAUUUGCGCUACUACAGUCCUAACAAUUCAAGCAAUAACCCCCAAUAUUUAUCCAGUAACCAGUGAAUAAUUCCAAAUCUCCAAAGAAAGUCAACAGAGGGCUAAAAGUAUAAUGGACAAAGCAAGCAGAGGAACCCAGGUGGGAACCCCGUCCACUGAAGACGAAAAACCAACCCAAGGAAGAAUUAAACCCGUAAAUCAGUCAAUGACUCGCACAGGGGAGUUGUCCAAGAUCAUAGAUAAAGCCCUUCCUAAUCAGUAAUUGAAAUGAACAUGCAACUGCAGAUUUGCAACCAGAUUUGCAAUAGAAUUGCUCGUGAAAUCAGCACUGGAAUCAAUGGACAGAACACUCCCAACAAUUGAAGUAAAUUUGUCCAAUUUCAACAAGCAACGCAAAUGCCACCCAAUUCAACAAACAACCACAGAAAUAAUCCAACUUUUCCACAGAAACUCUGGGUCAUCGAAACCCAAACAAUUCCCAACAAAUUACUCGAAUUGAUGCACUAAUUAAAGCAACAGGUGGGAGCCCAGUUGAUUCCAAACCUGUCUGAUGGAUUGGCGGCGCUGAGAAAGGGGACAGGGAGGCUCGCGGUGUGAGAGCAAGCCAUGGGCAGCAGCUAGUUGGCUCGCCGUGCGCAAGAGAGCUGGGUUGCUGCGGCAACGAGAGGGAGAAGGAGAGCAGAGGUGCGCAGUGGAGGUGAGAGGCUGCGG